Molecule: ribosomal RNA, 253 nt
Filed under: uncultured bacterium
Lineage: Bacteria
Description: partial 16S ribosomal RNA
Rfam family: Bacterial small subunit ribosomal RNA
Source: RNAcentral
UACGGGGGGGGCAAGCGUUGUUCGGAAUUACUGGGCGUAAAGCGCACGUAGGCGGAUUGUUAAGUCAGGGGUGAAAUCCUGGAGCUCAACUCCAGAACUGCCUUUGAUACUGGCGAUCUUGAGUCCGGGAGAGGUGAGUGGAACUGCGAGUGUAGAGGUGAAAUUCGUAGAUAUUCGCAAGAACACCAGUGGCGAAGGCGGCUCACUGGCCCGAUACUGACGCUGAGGCACGAAAGCGUGGGGAGCAAACAGG